Molecule: non-coding RNA, 367 nt
Organism: Vibrio anguillarum 775
Lineage: Bacteria; Pseudomonadati; Pseudomonadota; Gammaproteobacteria; Vibrionales; Vibrionaceae
Source: Rfam
GGGGCUGAUUCUGGAUUCGACGGGAAUUUUGCAGUCUGAGGUGCAUGCCGUGGGGCGGUUUGCCACGUUAAAAGCCGCAAAAAAAUAGUCGCAAACGACGAAAACUACGCACUAGCAGCUUAAUAACCUGCCAAGAGCCUUUCUGCCCUAGCUUCCGCUCGUAAGACGGGGAACAACAGAGAGUCAAAACCAAACAAGCUCGUGCCGCGUCUCCCGCCUGAGAGACAAAGCAUUAAAACUAAUUCAGGAUAGCCAUUAGAUAGCGUGUCGGUUCGCAGUUUGAUGGUGAAAUUAAAGAUCGAAUAAGCAUGUAGUACCAAUGAUGAAUGAUUUUCGGACGCGGGUUCAAAUCCCGCCAGCUCCACCA